AUGGAUUCAGGAAGCAGAAGACACUCAUCCAUUGCAAUCACCACAAAGGCCAACUCGUACCAGCGGCAGCCAUGCAUCCUGGCCAUAUUGGUGUUCACGGAUAUGACGGCCUCAUGAAAUGGCAUUUCCUGGUGCCUCCUAGUCCAACGACGACCAUGCAUAGCAACCUGGCCGAUUGCUGCAUGAUUGGAUUGGCCUCUUGCUUCUAUGAAUUUUCAUCUCUAGGUCAC
Molecule: long non-coding RNA, 230 nt
Filed under: Oryza brachyantha (malo sina)
Lineage: Eukaryota; Viridiplantae; Streptophyta; Magnoliopsida; Poales; Poaceae
Description: long non-coding RNA (OBRA_LNC003320)
Source: RNAcentral